Molecule: ribosomal RNA, 465 nt
Filed under: uncultured bacterium
Lineage: Bacteria
Description: bacterial SSU rRNA
Rfam family: Bacterial small subunit ribosomal RNA
Source: RNAcentral
CCUACGGGAUGCACCAGUGGGGAAUAUUGGACAAUGGGCGCAAGCCUGAUCCAGCCAUACCGCGUGAGUGAAGAAGGCCUUCGGGUUGUAAAGCUCUUUUGUUGGGAAAGAAAUCCUGUCGGUUAAUACCCGGUAGGGAUGACGGUACCCAAAGAAUAAGCACCGGCUAACUUCGUGCCAGCAGCCACGGUAAUACGAAGGGUGCAAGCGUUACUCGGAAUUACUGGGCGUAAAGCGUGCGUAGGUGGUUUGUUAAGUCUGAUGUGAAAGCCCCGGGCUCGACCUGGGAAUUGCAUUGGAUACUGGCAGGCUAGAGUGCGGUAGAGGGUAGUGGAAUUCCCGGUGUAGCAGUGAAAUGCGUAGAGAUCGGGAGGAACAUCUGUGGCGAAGGCGACUGCCUGGACCAGCACUGACACUGAGGCACGAAAGCGUGGGGAGCAAACAGGAUUAGAUACCCUUGUAGUC